Molecule: ribosomal RNA, 680 nt
Filed under: uncultured cyanobacterium
Lineage: Bacteria; Bacillati; Cyanobacteriota
Description: bacterial SSU rRNA
Rfam family: Bacterial small subunit ribosomal RNA
Source: RNAcentral
GAGAAUCUGCCUUUAGGUCCGGGACAACCACUGGAAACGGUGGCUAAUACCGGAUGUGCCGCAACGUGAAAGGGGAAACCCGCCUGAAGAUGAGCUCGCGUCUGAUUAGCUAGUUGGUGAGGUAAAGGCUCACCAAGGCGACGAUCAGUAGCUGGUCUGAGAGGAUGACCAGCCACACUGGGACUGAGACACGGCCCAGACUCCUACGGGAGGCAGCAGUGGGGAAUUUUCCGCAAUGGGCGAAAGCCUGACGGAGCAAGACCGCGUGAGGGAAGAAGGCUCUUGGGUCGUAAACCUCUUUUGUCAGGGAAGAACACAAUGACGGUACCUGACGAAUCAGCCUCGGCUAACUCCGUGCCAGCAGCCGCGGUAAUACGGAGGAGGCAAGCGUUAUCCGGAAUUAUUGGGCGUAAAGCGUCCGUAGGUGGCUAGUCAAGUCUGCGGUCAAAGACUGGGGCUUAACCCUGGAAAGGCCGUGGAAACUGACGAGCUAGAGUGCAGUAGGGGUAGAGGGAAUUCCCGGUGUAGCGGUGAAAUGCGUAGAGCUCGGGAAGAACAUCGGUGGCGAAAGCGCUCUACUGGACUGCAACUGACACUCAGGGACGAAAGCUAGGGGAGCGAAUGGGAUUAGAUACCCCAGUAGUCCUAGCCGUAAACGAUGGAUACUAGGUGUGGCUUGU